GACGAACGCUGGCGGCGCGCCUUACGCAUGCAAGUCGCGCGGACCUUCGGGUUAGUGGCGGACGGCUGAGUAACGCGUAGGUAACCUAUCCAGUGGUGGGGGACAACUCGCCGAAAGGCGAGCUAAUACCGCAUGUGGUCCCGGUGUGAGAUUCACCGGGACGAAAGCCGCAAGGCGCCACUUGAGGGGCCUGCGUCCUAUCAGGUAGUUGGUGGGGUAACGGCCUACCAAGCCUGUGACGGGUAGCGGUCUGAGAGGACGACCAGCCAGAAGGGGACUGAGACACGGCCCCUACUCCUACGGGAGGCAGCAGCGAGGAAUCUUGGGCAAUGGGCGAAAGCCUGACCCAGCGACGCCGCGUGAGGGAUGAAGGCCUU
Molecule: ribosomal RNA, 377 nt
Filed under: uncultured bacterium
Lineage: Bacteria
Description: bacterial SSU rRNA
Rfam family: Bacterial small subunit ribosomal RNA
Source: RNAcentral